This 623-nucleotide ribosomal RNA is filed under the name uncultured bacterium. Its description in RNAcentral is "bacterial SSU rRNA". It matches the Rfam family "Bacterial small subunit ribosomal RNA", at positions 28 to 646 of the family's 1533-position model. The record is from RNAcentral.
AUUGAACGCUAGCGGGAUGCCUUACACAUGCAAGUCGAACGGCAGCACGGACUUCGGUCUGGUGGCGAGUGGCGAACGGGUGAGUAAUGUAUCGGAACGUGCCUAGUAGCGGGGGAUAACUACGCGAAAGCGUAGCUAAUACCGCAUACGCCCUACGGGGGAAAGCAGGGGAUCGCAAGACCUUGCACUAUUAGAGCGGCCGAUAUCGGAUUAGCUAGUUGGUGGGGUAACGGCUCACCAAGGCGACGAUCCGUAGCUGGUUUGAGAGGACGACCAGCCACACUGGGACUGAGACACGGCCCAGACUCCUACGGGAGGCAGCAGUGGGGAAUUUUGGACAAUGGGGGAAACCCUGAUCCAGCCAUCCCGCGUGUGCGAUGAAGGCCUUCGGGUUGUAAAGCACUUUUGGCAGGAAAGAAACGUCAUGGGUUAAUACCCCGUGAAACUGACGGUACCUGCAGAAUAAGCACCGGCUAACUACGUGCCAGCAGCCGCGGUAAUACGUAGGGUGCAAGCGUUAAUCGGAAUUACUGGGCGUAAAGCGUGCGCAGGCGGUUCGGAAAGAAAGAUGUGAAAUCCCAGAGCUUAACUUUGGAACUGCAUUUUUAACUACCGAGCUAGAG